AGUGGAAAACGAUGUGAAGUUACUUAAACAACCAGGAGGUUGGCUUAGAAGCAGCCAUCCUUUAAAGAAAGCGUAAUAGCUCACUGGUCUAGUGAUUUUGCGCGGAAAAUAUAACGGGGCUAAAGUAAGUACCGAAGCUGUAGACUUGCACACAACUUAGAUUAUUUAAGUUUAGAAUAAGUAGUUUAAGUUGUGUGCAAGUGGUAGGAGAGCGUUCUAUUUGCGUCGAAGGUAUACCGGUAAGGAGUGCUGGAGCGAAUAGAAGUGAGCAUGCAGGCAUGAGUAGCGAUAAUUAAUGUGAGAAUCAUUAACGCCGUAAACCCAAGGUUUCCUACGCGAUGCUCGUCAUCGUAGGGUUAGUCGGGUCCUAAGUCGAGUCCGAAAGGGGUAGACGAUGGCAAAUUGGUUAAUAUUCCAAUACCAACAUUAGUGUGCGAUGGAAGGACGCUUAGGGCUAAGGGGGCUAGCGGAUGGAAGUGCUAGUCUAAGGUCGUAGGAGGUUAUACAGGCAAAUCCGUAUAACAAUACUCCGAGAACUGAAAGGCUUUUUGAAGUCUUCGGAUGGAUAGAAGAACCCCUGAUGCCGUCGAGCCAAGAAAAGUUUCUAAGUUUAGCUAAUGUUGCCCGUACCGUAAACCGACACAGGUGGGUGGGAUGAGUAUUCUAAGGCGCGUGGAAGAACUCUCUUUAAGGAACUCUGCAAAAUAGCACCGUAUCUUCGGUAUAAGGUGUGGUUAGCUUCGUACUAGGAUUUACUCCGAAAGCGAAGAAACUUACAACAAAGAGUCCCUCCCGACUGUUUACCAAAAACACAGCACUCUGCUAACUCGUAAGAGGAUGUAUAGGGUGUGACGCCUGCCCGGUGCUCGAAGGUUAAUUGAUGGGGUUAGCAUUAGCGAAGCUCUUGAUCGAAGCCCGAGUAAACGGCGGCCGUAACUAUAACGGUCCUAAGGUAGCGAAAUUCCUUGUCGGUUAAAUACCGACCUGCAUGAAUGGCGUAACGAGAUGGGAGCUGUCUCAAAGAGGGAUCCAGUGAAAUUGUAGUGGAGGUGAAAAUUCCUCCUACCCGCGGCAAGACGGAAAGACCCCGUGGACCUUUACUACAGCUUGACACUGCUACUUGGAUAAGAAUGUGCAGGAUAGGUGGGAGGCUUUGAGUAUAUGACGCCAGUUGUAUAUGAGCCAUUGUUGAGAUACCACUCUUUCUUAUUUGGGUAGCUAACCAGCUUGAGUUAUCCUCAAGUGGGACAAUGUCUGGUGGGUAGUUUGACUGGGGCGGUCGCCUCCCAAAUAAUAACGGAGGCUUACAAAGGUUGGCUCAGAACGGUUGGAAAUCGUUCGUAGAGUAUAAAGGUAUAAGCCAGCUUAACUGCAAGACAUACAAGUCAAGCAGAGACGAAAGUCGGUCUUAGUGAUCCGGUGGUUCUGUGUGGAAGGGCCAUCGCUCAAAGGAUAAAAGGUACCCCGGGGAUAACAGGCUGAUCUCCCCCAAGAGCUCACAUCGACGGGGAGGUUUGGCACCUCGAUGUCGGCUCAUCGCAUCCUGGGGCUGGAGCAGGUCCCAAGGGUAUGGCUGUUCGCCAUUUAAAGCGGUACGCGAGCUGGGUUCAGAACGUCGUGAGACAGUUCGGUCCCUAUCUGCCGUGGGCGUAAGAAGAUUGAAGAGAUUUGACCCUAGUACGAGAGGACCGGGUUGAACAAACCACUGGUGUAGCUGUUGUUCUGCCAAGAGCAUCGCAGCGUAGCUAAGUUUGGAAAGGAUAAACGCUGAAAGCAUCUAAGCGUGAAGCCAACUCUAAGAUGAAUCUUCUCUAAGCUCUCUAGAAGACUACUAGUUUGAUAGGCUGGGUGUGUAAUGGAUGAAAGUCCUUUAGCUGACCAGUACUAAUAGAGCGUUUGGCUUAUCUUUAAUAAAGCAU
Molecule: ribosomal RNA, 1919 nt
Filed under: Campylobacter jejuni
Lineage: Bacteria; Pseudomonadati; Campylobacterota; Epsilonproteobacteria; Campylobacterales; Campylobacteraceae
Description: partial 23S ribosomal RNA
Rfam family: Bacterial large subunit ribosomal RNA
Source: RNAcentral